CCCGCUCAGAAACUCAAAGGAAUUGACGGGGCCCGCACAAGCGGUGGAGCAUGUGGUUUAAUUCGAUGGUACGCGAGGAACCUUACCAGGGCUUGACAUACGUUGGAAGCGCAUCGAAAGGUGCGUGCCGCUUGCGGCCGGCGUACAGGUGCUGCAUGGCUGUCGUCAGCUCGUGCUGUGAAGUGUUGGGUUAAGUCCCGCAACGAGCGCAACCCCUGCUGCCUGUUGCCACCACGAGAGGUGGGGACUCAGGCGGGACCGCCGGGUGACAAACCGGAGGAAGGUGGGGGACGACGUCAAGUCAUCAUGGCCCUUAUGUCCUGGGCUACACACGUGCUACAAUGGCCGGUACAGAGCGCAGCGAGGCCGCGAGGCGGAGCGAAUCGCUUAAAGCCGGUCCCAGUACGGAUUGGAGUCUGCAACCCGACUCCAUGAAGUUGGAAUCGCUAGUAAUCGCGCAUCAGCAUGGCGCGGUGAAUACGUUCCCGGGCCUU
Molecule: ribosomal RNA, 494 nt
Filed under: uncultured Spirochaeta sp.
Lineage: Bacteria; Pseudomonadati; Spirochaetota; Spirochaetia; Spirochaetales; Spirochaetaceae
Description: bacterial SSU rRNA
Rfam family: Bacterial small subunit ribosomal RNA
Source: RNAcentral